This 497-nucleotide ribosomal RNA is filed under the name uncultured bacterium. RNAcentral describes it as "partial 16S ribosomal RNA". It matches the Rfam family "Bacterial small subunit ribosomal RNA", at positions 28 to 507 of the family's 1533-position model. The record is from RNAcentral.
GAUGAACGCUGGCGGCGUGCCUAAUACAUGCAAGUCGAGCGAACGGACGAGAAGCUUGCUUCUCUGAUGUUAGCGGCGGACGGGUGAGUAACACGUGUAUAACCUACCUAUAAGACUGGGAUAACUUCGGGAAACCGGAGCUAAUACCGGAUAAUAUUUUGAACCGCAUGGUGCAAUAGUGAAAGACGGUCUUGCUGUCACUUAUAGAUGGAUCCGCGCUGCAUUAGCUAGUUGGUAAGGUAACGGCUUACCAAGGCAACGAUGCAUAGCCGACGUGAGAGGGUGAUCGGCCACACUGGAACUGAGACAGGGUCCAGACUCCUACGGGAGGCAGCAGUAGGGAAUCUUCCGCAAUGGGCGAAAGCCUGACGGAGCAACGCCGCGUGAGUGACGAAGGUCUUCGGAUCGUAAAACUCUGUUAUUAGGGAAGAACAUAUGUGUAAGUAACUGUGCACAUAUUGACGGUACCUAAUCAGAAAGCCACGGCUAACUACGUG